GAUGAACGCUGGCGGCGCGCUUAACACAUGCAAGUCGAACGGUGAACACGGAGCUUGCUCUGUGGGAUCAGUGGCGAACGGGUGAGUAACACGUGAGCAACCUGCCCCUGACUCUGGGAUAAGCGCUGGAAACGGCGUCUAAUACUGGAUAUGUGACGUGACCGCAUGGUCUGCGUUUGGAAAGAUUUUUCGGUUGGGGAUGGGCUCGCGGCCUAUCAGCUUGUUGGUGAGGUAAUGGCUCACCAAGGCGUCGACGGGUAGCCGGCCUGAGAGGGUGACCGGCCACACUGGGACUGAGACACGGCCCAGACUCCUACGGGAGGCAGCAGUGGGGAAUAUUGCACAAUGGGCGCAAGCCUGAUGCAGCAACGCCGCGUGAGGGAUGACGGCCUUCGGGUUGUAAACCUCUUUUAGCAGGGAAGAAGCGAAAGUGACGGUACCUGCAGAAAAAGCGCCGGCUAACUACGU
RNAcentral lists this ribosomal RNA (468 nucleotides) under uncultured bacterium. RNAcentral describes it as "partial 16S ribosomal RNA". It matches the Rfam family "Bacterial small subunit ribosomal RNA", at positions 28 to 506 of the family's 1533-position model. The record is from RNAcentral.